Molecule: RNA transcript, 2345 nt
Organism: Panicum virgatum (switchgrass)
Lineage: Eukaryota; Viridiplantae; Streptophyta; Magnoliopsida; Poales; Poaceae
Exons: 6
Source: RefSeq, a predicted model, not a curated record
AACCAAAGGCGGCCUCCAAUCCCCAAUUCGCUUCGCUCCCCGCAACCUAACCCUAGCUUCCUCCUUCCCUUCCCCUUCCCCUACCUAUGGAUCCGCCGCCCACCAGGGAGGAAUCCGAGCCCGGAUCCCGUCCCUUCCCCGACGCCGACGAGCCGGGGACCUCCCGAUCGGAACGCGACGAGCCGGGGACUUCCCCAUCGGAACGCGACGACCCGUCGUCGGGUGCUCCGCCGCCUCCUCUACGCCAGCAGCUCAUGGGGGCUUGCCGCGCCGACGAGCGCCUCAGGCCUCUCCUCACCCUCAACGUCUCCUGCACCGCCGCCGACGACCGUUUCCUCGCGCACCUCGCGCAGCACUUCGAGGUCUCGGAGGUCGGCAUGCUCGCGCGAUGCCUGUGCGUUCCCCUCGUCUCCCUGCGCGUUGGCAAGGUUCAGAGGGACGGCGCCCUCCUCUGCCCAACACCAACUAGGUAAUUUGGGCGUGUGUCAUAAUCUCUGAUAUAUGAGGAAAGAGAAGAGGGAAGCUGGACCUUGGUCUUCUGCCGUCAUCUAGCAUGUGCCUUACCUUUGUUGGUGAUGAUGGUUAUUCAGAGCAACUAGCUCUCUUGAGCAACGGCUUUGAAUGCUUGGAAGUUGUGAUUGAAGAAAUAUCAGCUGAUAAUUCUGGGCGCUCUUUCCUAGUCAGAAUUUCAAAGUCUAAAGUAUUUUACUACUGGUGUGCUGAGAAGUCAAAGGAACAUGGAAUGAAACUUCUUUCGAAGAUGAAAAGCCUUUUGGAUGGGAGACCAACGCUUUCUGAUCUGACUGGCAUUUCCGAUUCACGACUUGAUGCUUUUGCCACUCAUUUACAUGCUUAUCUUCUCGCAUCAAGUAUUGGUGAUGUUAAAUCGUUGGGAUCACUUAAUGACUUUUUGGGUCCGUCAAGACCGCAUGAUCAAUAUUUGCAGCUCCAAUCAGCUGUUUCCAAGACUUCCAGGUUUCGUGCCUCUAUAAGUAAUGUGACGAAGUCAAGCUCUGUCUAUCAAACCAGCUUAAGUCCCAGAUCUGGCACUUUUAAAGAUGGUGUGCCCAGGGCUUCGUGUUCAAGGGUUGUUGGGAGAGAGAAAUUGAAGCAUCGUGCAGAAUGGUCGAGCCCAUCAAUUGCUCCCCUUGAUGCAAAUCAUUUAGCAUCAAGUAGUAUCAACCCUGAUUCUACCAGUGAGAAGUGUGAUGCAGAUUGUUCAAGAAACAUUGUUACCUCAGUUCCGUUGAACUUGCCUCUUGCAUUUCCCUUGUUGCCAUCUAUCUAUUCUCUUGGUACUUGUCCGCCAUCUGAGGUUUCUUUGGAGAAGCAGUUUAAGCCUUACUAUUGCUGGUGCCAGCCAUGUCCAUCGUCACUGCAAUACACUGUUUCCCAUCUGCAUCUGCCGGCUACAUCUGUAGAUCCAUUACCCCUACCACCUUUGAGUUCUCUGGUAGCAAAUGAGCAGCAACCUUGUUCAGAAGUGUCUCCAAAUCUGAAUACAACUGAUCUCCCUUCCCUUAAUCUUCCAUCGAUACUGCAUGAUCCUUUACUUCACCUGCCACUUCCCACUUCGCCACUUGUUCCCCUACAUGGUUCACAGGUUCCAACAUUCACGCCAUUGAUGUCUGAUCCCAUUGUGCAUGUCCCAGUCAUUGAUGUGUGUUCUGCUGGGCAGGCAUACCUGGUGAGUUGUGGUCCUUCAAUAUCCUCAGCAGUUCCCCUGCUUCCUAGCUUGAAGCCUCUGCUGCCAGAAGCAGACUCAUUAGUCGAGAGAAGUGCUAGGGAAACACUAAUGAGGCUCAUAGCUUCGGCACCACCUGCAAGCAAUCCUCAGUUAGCGAACAUUCUCCCUUUGGUCGUGCCAGAAAGUAUAUCUCACGCUAAUAAUGUGAACAAGCAUGCUGAUGCUGACCCUGAGGACAAAGAUUUUGGUACAUCUUGUGUUGCUGCGUUUGGAAGUGGGAUUGGAGGCGUGGAGCUGUACUCCGAGGAUGAAGUUUCAAGCGGGGAUGUUAUUCAUGAAUCAUUUUCAGAAUAUGAUGAUACCAACGCCGACUGUGAUGUACAACAUUGCCAGAAAAUUUAGUUUGCAACAGUUUGGCACUAGAGAAAUAGGGGGUGUUUUCCGCUAGCUAAAUGCUGGUAUGGAAUGUCGUAAUAUUUUGAGCAACUGUUGCAUCACCACGGUAAAUAGGUUUUCAGGGAUUUGGUGAUUUGAUGCUCUCAGCAGCCUCCUUUAACGCCGCUUAUCUGGCUGGCAAGUGUAAUUAGUUGUUCGAACUGUGCUUCGUUUUGUCAAACUUACUGUGAACCUAAGUUAUUUUAGUCGUUUGUUUUAUGCA